Molecule: long non-coding RNA, 3032 nt
Organism: Ailuropoda melanoleuca (giant panda)
Lineage: Eukaryota; Metazoa; Chordata; Mammalia; Carnivora; Ursidae
Exons: 4
Source: RefSeq, a predicted model, not a curated record
UUGCUGCUCUCAGUGUAGAACCGAAGCGGAGACAAAAAGCUUGAUCCGAGCUGCUCCGGAGGUGCUUGGCUGCCCACGUGCCCAGCCUAGAUGACUCGGAGGGAUAUUCCUGAGCAAGAUACAGGGUUUUCUCCAUGGAGCUAAAUAUAACUUUUGAGCAGGGAAUAUGGUGACUCUGCCAGGGGAGGGAUCCCAGGCUGAGCCAGAGGGCCAGGGAUGGGGCAGGCCAGGGAUGGGAGGCUAGGAACGCUUCUCAGUGGACCUGAUACGCAGAUUGAGUUGAGGAGCUGUGGAACCAGCUCUCCAGAAGCGUCUCCAGCACAAACUCAGAAGGAUAGAGAAAGAAAAGAAGGGGACUGGAAUUGAGGAGACAGCAUGCUGACAGAAAGCACAGCUUGACUCAGGGAGGCUGAGAAAGUGGUGAAGGACCAUACCAGAAGAAAGGCUUGUUUGAAACACCCUAUGGCAGAGCCCAAGUGACACUGUUUAAAGCGGCAUGUGGAAUGACGGCCAAGGCCAGUGUUCUCCUGGAAGUUCAAAGUGUGAGAAUGGGAUGGAGCCAGCCAGGAAAACACUCUGCUUCUCAGAGGACUUCAAAGACUGAGAGAAGACACAGAACUGGAGGAGUGUAGACUAUGAAAGAAAUCCUUCCUCUUGAUCCUCUGACUCCGGAUGUAUCCUCAUCCAUUCAUUCGGAAGGUGCAGAGGAGGGAGCCAAGCCCUUGGGACCAGACAGACAGCCAUCUGCCACACAGAGGCCUGCUCAUAUGCCCGGAAAGUCGAGAGCCACACAGGCUGCAUUUCUGCUCCACGGGCCUUGAAGUGGAGAAGACGGCUUGCUGCCAUUUUAUUCGGUCCUGUGGCUCCCGUGAAACUCCAGUCCCCACGCUCCUCACUGGGCCUCUUAAAGGUCCAUCUGUUUCCCCUCUCAACAAACUGACCUGUGUGGGCAAUAAUACCGAAGACCCUCCUCCAAGCUGUGACAGAUCAUUGAAAAUUGCUAGGAAAAGAACUGCAUCAUAACGACCCCAAUACUACGUCAGACCCGGAGAUCCCUAGGCGUGCUUUCUACCCCCAGAGUGUUUUCAGAGCAUGUGUCACUGCUUUGCGGCAGGCUUGUACUGUGAGCAUCCUCAUAACGGACACUUCCUCUGCGGCCCAGUUUACUUUUUUAUACGCUUAGUCAUGCAUACAGAUCCUAGCCGUGGCGACUGACUCAAAAUAACUCAUUUGGGGGCACUACAAAAAGAGUCUUUAUCGGCUGUUUUAAUAACAACACAGCCCACAUUAAACAGCUCAGUUUGGCUGCUUAGAUAUUCCUUCUCAAAUCAUGUCAUAUACAUUUUUGGAAACUACAUUAAAAUACUACGUAUUCUCCCAUCCUCCAACCCUUCAGUCUUUGUUUAUUGCUUUAGUUCAUUCCUGGAUUUUCUCCCUAAGCUGUGGGUAAGGAGUGCCACGGAUAAGUUCAUUUUUUUUGCUUCAAAGUGACAGAAAUGUCUGAUUUCUCUCUGGUUUUGGAAAAACUGAGUAGUCAUAGAAGAUCUAAAGCAGAAAAUCUCAAACCUCUUCAAGGGAGCUGCCUCUUGCUCUCCUUUCCUCUCUCCUUCUCUUUCUUCUUCCUGUCCUUUCCUUCCCUCCCUCCAUGUUUCCUAAAUAUCUGUAAUGUGCCCGCCAUUGUUCUAGAUGAGGAAUCAGACACAAAGGGGAGCAAGUACAGUGUCCCACAGUCUUCUGAAUGUCUUUAAGAAGACAACCUGAGAAAUAGAUAACAUGGCUUUCGUUGGUAUGAAAUCAUCCCAAGAUGUCCCUGCAUGCUUCGGGGGACACCUUCCUGGUUCAUAAUUCCUUUUCCUGCAGACUUCUCUGUUCAGGGCACAGGCCUAGAAAGGCACGAGACCGAGGACUUUAUUACUCACAGCAGCUGACGUGAGACAACAUUUUUUGGUACUGGUCCUGAGCCCCACUUCCACAGGGCAACGUGGAGAGGGACAGAUGACCCGUGUCACACCCACACAUGGCAGCUUGCUUACGAGAGAGGAUUCCUGAUUGCAGAGAACCCAAAUCUUUUUCAAUGCCUACCCUUUUCUUCAAUAGGAGACCUUACUCAACUUCUGAGAGUGCUUGAUAGGCGUGGAGAUUCUCCCCCUGUACGCCUUUCUCUUGCCCUCUGGAAUCCAAAUAAAACUAAAGGAGCUGUCAAGUGUCAGGUGAGACGUAAGUGCCUCCCUCCCCUCCACUGCCCCCCUCCGGUUAAAGCCCCAGCUAUUGUCCCUGCCCUGUUGGCUCUCUUUUCCUACUCUGCCUUCUCCUUCUUACCCUUGUCCGUAUUCUGCUCAGCUGGGAGCACAGGCCUGAGCGCUGAUGGCGUAGGAGCUCCAAUUUGAGAUCCAUUUAUCAAGAGCUGGAAUUGGCAAACCAUGGGCCCAGCCAAAUAGAUUGCAGUCUGUUUUUGUGCAUCUCUGGAGCUAGGGGUGAUACUUAGAUUUUUAAAAGGGUGUGUGUGUGUGUGUGUGUGUGUGUGUGUAUAAAACAAUAUGAGACAGAGCCCGCAAACCUGAAAUAUUUACUAUCUCAAACUUUAUAGGAAAAGUUUGCCAACUCCUAUUGUAGGAGAAAUUGUCAUGUUAUAGGGGAAAGGGGACCAUACAGAAAACAGCAGCAUGGAUGGACGUGCUGGGGGACCGGGCUAGCAUGCUAUCUCUUCAUUCUUCGAGGCAUCCUGCGUACCUCCUUGGUAGAGAGCAGACUGUAUGAUCUUCUUCAUGCCUUAGAAAGUGCAAAUUUCUCAGGCUCUAAAAUCGUACUCUCCGUCUCUGUCUCUCUCCGUUGCUCUCUCUUACUGUUGUGAAUUAAGUCAGGAAAAGUGAAGAGAAGCAUGUGAAUUAUUGUUCCAAUUAUGAUAUGUGAUUCAAACACGUGAGGGACCUUGGCUCAUCUUCCUCUCCGGGUUAAGUGCAGUUACAGCAUCAAUUAGGAUUUAGAUGAUGUUCUCAGAUCUGGGGAAUGGAUUGCUGGGUGCCAGGAAAAUA